This 253-nucleotide ribosomal RNA is filed under the name uncultured bacterium. Its description in RNAcentral is "partial 16S ribosomal RNA". It matches the Rfam family "Bacterial small subunit ribosomal RNA", at positions 524 to 776 of the family's 1533-position model. The record is from RNAcentral.
UACAGAGGGGGCAAGCGUUAUUCGGAAUUAUUGGGCGUAAAGGGCGCGUAGGCGGUGCUGUAAGUCUGUGGUGAAAUCUCUGGGCUCAACUCAGAGUCUGCCAUAGAAACUGCAGUGCUGGAGUGUGGGAGAGGUGAGUGGAAUUCCCGGUGUAGCGGUGAAAUGCGUAGAUAUUGGUAGGAACACCAGUGGCGAAGGCGGUCUCCUGGGGCAUUCUUGACGCUGAGGCGCGAAAGCUGGGGGAGCGAACGGG